Non-coding RNA from Danio rerio (zebrafish), 948 nucleotides. The record is from RefSeq and is a predicted model, not a curated record. NCBI's taxonomy places the organism in Eukaryota, Metazoa, Chordata, Actinopteri, Cypriniformes, Danionidae.
UCAAAAACACAUUGCAACAUAACAUGUGAUAGCUAGUUCUAGACUGUAUCUGAAAUUGCCCCCCAUGUCCUUAAAUAGCGCACUAUUUGAGAGAGCAGCUAUUUGUGGUAGUGUCCGAAAACCAUAGUGGAUGUUCUGAAGUGCACUCAAUCCCACAAUAGCAAGUGUAUAAUCAAUGUACACUCAAUGCUACGGCUAAAGAGUAACGCAGCUGCAUGUCGAAUUUUCGUGUCUGACCACAAGAUGGCAUCCACAGCAGAACGUUUCUGAAUGAAUUAAUGUUUGUAUACAUGCCAGAAAUCAAAAAUACUUGCUGGCUACAUGUUAAACAACAAUUACAGGAUCUGAAUACAUUGAAAAUCUAAUCUGUCUGAGGCAUUCAUCAACUAGCGUUGCUCAAACAAAACACAAUCCCCACUAUCUCAUUUUCAUUGACUUUAUUAAGUGGAUUGUAUUACCCAACAAACACACAACGUUGCCUCAACGUAGCGACCUUCCUACAACGUUGUACCAACCUUGCAAAAAGGUUGAGGAUUCUACGUUGUUGCUAAACGUUGUCACAACGAUGUCAUAAGGUUGCCAUUUAAACAUCACGAGGGCCGCAUACUUUAGGUUGUGCUUAGGUGGCGUGGACAACCACUGUACAACAUUUACUGGUCACAGCUGAAUCAGUUUAAAUUUCAACAAGCCGUCGUCUCAUUCAUCAACGACCGAGGAGACGCUAUUUUCACAUGGAGAAUGUUUUCAGCUGUUGAAUUCACCUCAGAUCAGUGUUGCUGUAAUUCCCGAUCUAUGGAAAGAAUAAUUGGAUGAGCGAGCAACGCCACAACUACAGGGCCUCUUCUUUCUCUUCUCAUAAUUUAACUGCGCUCCCUGGUCUGCUGUAUUCUCCAGUCCAGAGCUUCACUGCCCAGUGUCUGAAUUUAAAUUUAUAUAUUUAUAUAUAUA